RNAcentral lists this small RNA (29 nucleotides) under Bombyx mori (domestic silkworm). Its description in RNAcentral is "ovarian small RNA-15773". The record is from RNAcentral. Lineage: Eukaryota; Metazoa; Arthropoda; Insecta; Lepidoptera; Bombycidae.
GAGCAUCGUAGCCACGACGGUCGGAAGCG